CUUAGAAGCAGCCAUCAUUUAAAGAAAGCGUAAUAGCUCACUGGUCGAGUCGGCCUGCGCGGAAGAUGUAACGGGGCUAAACCAUGCACCGAAGCUGCGGCAGCGACACUAUGUGUUGUUGGGUAGGGGAGCGUUCUGUAAGCCUGUGAAGGUGUGCUGUGAGGCAUGCUGGAGGUAUCAGAAGUGCGAAUGCUGACAUAAGUAACGAUAAAGCGGGUGAAAAGCCCGCUCGCCGGAAGACCAAGGGUUCCUGUCCAACGUUAAUCGGGGCAGGGUGAGUCGACCCCUAAGGCGAGGCCGAAAGGCGUAGUCGAUGGGAAACAGGUUAAUAUUCCUGUACUUGGUGUUACUGCGAAGGGGGGACGGAGAAGGCUAUGUUGGCCGGGCGACGGUUGUCCCGGUUUAAGCGUGUAGGCUGAUUUUCCAGGCAAAUCCGGAAAAUCAAGGCUGAGGCGUGAUGACGAGGCACUACGGUGCUGAAGCAACAAAUGCCCUGCUUCCAGGAAAAGCCUCUAAGCAUCAGGUAACAUCAAAUCGUACCCCAAACCGACACAGGUGGUCAGGUAGAGAAUACCAAGGCGCUUGAGAGAACUCGGGUGAAGGAACUAGGCAAAAUGGUGCCGUAACUUCGGGAGAAGGCACGCUGAUAUGUAGGUGAAGCGACUUGCUCGUGGAGCUGAAAUCAGUCGAAGAUACCAGCUGGCUGCAACUGUUUAUUAAAAACACAGCACUGUGCAAACACGAAAGUGGACGUAUACGGUGUGACGCCUGCCCGGUGCCGGAAGGUUAAUUGAUGGGGUUAGCGGUAACGCGAAGCUCUUGAUCGAAGCCCCGGUAAACGGCGGCCGUAACUAUAACGGUCCUAAGGUAGCGAAAUUCCUUGUCGGGUAAGUUCCGACCUGCACGAAUGGCGUAAUGAUGGCCAGGCUGUCUCCACCCGAGACUCAGUGAAAUUGAACUCGCUGUGAAGAUGCAGUGUACCCGCGGCAAGACGGAAAGACCCCGUGAACCUUUACUAUAGCUUGACACUGAACAUUGAGCCUUGAUGUGUAGGAUAGGUGGGAGGCUUUGAAGUGUGGACGCCAGUCUGCAUGGAGCCGACCUUGAAAUACCACCCUUUAAUGUUUGAUGUUCUAACGUUGGCCCGUUAUCCGGGUUGCGGACAGUGUCUGGUGGGUAGUUUGACUGGGGCGGUCUCCUCCUAAAGAGUAACGGAGGAGCACGAAGGUUGGCUAAUCCUGGUCGGACAUCAGGAGGUUAGUGCAAUGGCAUAAGCCAGCUUGACUGCGAGCGUGACGGCGCGAGCAGGUGCGAAAGCAGGUCAUAGUGAUCCGGUGGUUCUGAAUGGAAGGGCCAUCGCUCAACGGAUAAAAGGUACUCCGGGGAUAACAGGCUGAUACCGCCCAAGAGUUCAUAUCGACGGCGGUGUUUGGCACCUCGAUGUCGGCUCAUCACAUCCUGGGGCUGAAGUAGGUCCCAAGGGUAUGGCUGUUCGCCAUUUAAAGUGGUACGCGAGCUGGGUUUAGAACGUCGUGAGACAGUUCGGUCCCUAUCUGCCGUGGGCGCUGGAGAACUGAGGGGGGCUGCUCCUAGUACGAGAGGACCGGAGUGGACGCAUCACUGGUGUUCGGGUUGUCAUGCCAAUGGCACUGCCCGGUAGCUAAAUGCGGAAGAGAUAAGUGCUGAAAGCAUCUAAGCACGAAACUUGCCCCG
This 1713-nucleotide ribosomal RNA is filed under the name Escherichia coli. Its description in RNAcentral is "partial 23S ribosomal RNA". It matches the Rfam family "Bacterial large subunit ribosomal RNA", at positions 1105 to 2801 of the family's 2925-position model. Lineage: Bacteria; Pseudomonadati; Pseudomonadota; Gammaproteobacteria; Enterobacterales; Enterobacteriaceae. The record is from RNAcentral.